This 3991-nucleotide long non-coding RNA is filed under the name Sus scrofa (pig). Its description in RNAcentral is "lncRNA (ENSSSCG00060071000.1)". The record is from RNAcentral. Lineage: Eukaryota; Metazoa; Chordata; Mammalia; Artiodactyla; Suidae.
ACCUCAGCACAUGGAGUUCCCAGGUCAGGGAUCAGAUCUGAGCUGAAGUUGCAAUUUAUGCUCAAGCUGUAGCAAUACCAGAUCCUUAACCCACUAUGCCAGGCCAGGGAUUGAACCUGUGUCCCAGCGCUCCAGAGACACUGCUGAUCCUGUUGUGCCAUAGCAGGAAUUCCAACUUCUACUACUUUUUAUUGGAGUUUACUGGGCAUUGUGCUAAAUGCUUUCACACAUUAUCCCAUUUUCAUUCUCUGUAGCUCUCCCAUAGGACAGAUACUAUCCCGCCAUUAGUUGUUCAGGUAAGGCUGUCCCAAGCGACACAGUGCCCAGAGUCCAAGAGCUUCUCAGGAACCUACUUAAAUGUUUAAAACCUGAGGAAAGUCUGGCUCCAAAUGCAAAAACUACAGAAUAACCCAAAUUAAUAAGUGUUUAAUCAAAUGUCUACAUGUCAUCAAUUGCUAAUUUAUAUCAUUAAUUGUGUCGGCUUCCUUAAUUAUUAAAUGUAGUGUUCAUAAGAAUGGCAUUAUAUUUGGAAAUAAUGUGUAGAUGAGAUUUUUUAAACUCUGCCAAGUACUUCCAGAAUGCAAAUGAAUGCCCACGUAGUACUGAGAACUUGAAGAUAAUUAUCCUGUGGAUGAAUUACUCUUAGCCAAUAUACCUUCCAAGGCAAACUUACAAAAAUCACUUCGUUUUAUGUUACAGAAAUAAGACAUAUUUAAGGUAGCAAUCCUGCGUACUUCAAUCAUUGAUUUGGGGGAGGAACUUUCAAAACUAAUAGCAUCUCAUCCUAGGAAGGCCUGAAGAUGGUCUUUAUUAUUAUUAGCCCCAUUUCACAGAUUUAACUUCAUGAUCUGCAGUUUCCUGGUUACUCGAUUCAACGCCUCUCCCAAUUCUCCUGGCCAAAUUCUCACCCUUUCCUGCCCCCUACUUCCUUGCCUACCCCCCCCACCACCACCACCACCACUCAGCCUACCCUGGGCUGGGGCGCACACAGGGAUGUGUGUAUGUGUGAAUGCGUAUGGGGGUGGUCGGACAAGGUGAGUGUCUCCCUGGCCUGCCCUGCAGGCUCUGGCUCUGCUCUUCACUUUCUCUCCACAGUGGGACUCCACUGGCCCCCAAAUCCUUCCCAGCCCUUGAAAGCACAUCUGAAAGAAGAAAACCAGCUAUCCCCCAAAUUGCCACCAGAUGGUACCACAAGCUCAUGACUGGGCUUCUAUGGGCUCCCUUCAAGGAAAGGAAACUCAGACCUGGAGGACAAGGCACCUUGGAAGACCCUCCUCACAAGCCUCUUCUGCUCUUCCAGGGUGACUCUGGCCUCUCCAGGGAGACCCUCAGGGCUCUAUUUUUGACUUUCUGGGAGGCAAAGCAAUUUGGCCCUUCCUCCAUCUUGCUGUUCCUGUCUCCCUAUUUCGUCUCUCCUUGUUCAUCUUCCAGCCGCCCUCUCCAUCUGUCUCUCUCUCCUUCUGUCUCCGUCUCUCUCUCUGUUUAUCUCUGACUCUGUCUCUCUCCCUAUCUCUCUCUCUCUCUCUGUCCUCCGUCUGUCUCCAUCUUCCUCAGCAAAUCUGAUGCUGCUUUCUCAGCCAUAAAACAGAGUGAAACAAUGCCACCUGCAGCAAGCAACAUGGAUGGACCUAGAGAUUAUUACACUAAGUCAGUCAGAAAGAGAGAAACACCAUUUGAUAUCACCUAUAUGUGGAAUCUAAAAUAUGACACAAAUGAACUUAUUUACAAAACAGAUACAGACUCAGAGAGAGAGAAAGUAAACUUACAGUUACCAGAGGAGAAAGAAUGUGGGGGGGCGGGGGGGGGUGAAUUAGGAGUCUGGGAUUAGCAGAUACAAAUGACUAUAUAUAAAAUAGAUGGACUAUAUAUAAAAUAGACACAAAUGACUAUAUAUAAAAUACAGGCCCUAUUGUAUAGCACAGGAAACCAGAUUCAAUAAACCAAAUGGAAAAGAAUAUGAAAAAGAAAACGUGUGUACAUAUAUAAUCUGAAUCCCUUUGCUGUGCACCAGAAACACAACAUUGUAAAUCACCUAUAUUUCAAUUUUUAAAUGGUCACUAAAUGAGAAAAAAAAAUCUAGUGCUACUUCAACUUAUUCAAUAAGUUCAUUCUGAAAACCAGCUGCUGGUGUCUGCUGCAUGGUGGACAGUGCCAGGCUCAGAGAAGUCAGUGAAAGGAGGACUGUGGUGGGCAAGUCCCUUUAUCCUCAGCCUCCCUCCCCCUCUUCCCGCCCCCUUCCCAUCUCCCCUCCUCUCUGCUUUCCUCUCUCUCUUUCCAGCCUCUCCCUUGGCUGAGUGGCAGAGAAUCUGGGGCAGCAGAAGGGGUAUGAGCCUGUCUCUGUCCACCCCUACACAGUCCACACCCAGCCCCAUACACUGGAGCCAGGCUCGAUGGGGCAACACAAAGCCCCAGAAUCUUGAGACCCUCUUUAUUCUAAGCCAAUCCUGCCACCUCAUGGCCCCCACUGACAGAAAGGAAAAGUCACAGGCUGGGAGCCCUGAGACUUAGGAUCUGGGCCCAGUCCCACCACAAAUCCCUCUGGGAAGGUUUUCUCCAGGUCUGCCAGGCCUGGGUCUUCCCAUCUGUGGACCAAUCAUCUGGUCCACAGCUGGGCUUCCUUCCAGCUCUACACCCUAAGUUUCUCCAGGACUGUCCCUACCUGGCCGCCUUACAGGCUCACCUCGCCUCGCCCUCCCCGUUUCUCCUCAUCAGUCUGGAAGGUGUUGGCCUGUGGUCAGCAUUAAAAGACUUGCUGUCCUGGCUGGGGAGCUGGACUCCACUUGGCCUAGGAAGGGAAGCAAGAACCACUCACCAGGAGAAGCCAGAGAUGUUCUCCUCCCAGCUUCCACACCUCCGAUACAGAAACCCCCCAAGUCCUCACCCCCAAUCACUCCCAUUUCAUGGUUUUUGGAUUAGAGGCCCCAACGAGGGGUGAACCUAGGGAGGCCUGUGAGACUAAGAUUUUACCACCAGCACGUCUUUCCCUUGAAAGUGUUACAGUUAGUAAACGUUUUCAAGCCGCACCCCUGCCUACCCACCCCCAAGUGCUAGGCUGGGCAGGGAUGGGGUGUGCAUUUUGCCCCCAUCCUUACCUCCCCGCUUCCUUCUCCAGGGGGAGGUGUCACUCUCUGUCCACAGCUAAUCUUUCCAUCAUGGCUCAGGAUCCCGUUCCUCUCCCUCUCCUGGAAUCUUCCCCUCAGCAUAACGCCCUCUCACUUCCAUCUUUAAAACACCCACCUCCAUGCUAGCCAAUGCCUUUACACAAGAGAAAGCAUUUUAAAGCAUUUUACACAAGGGAAAAGAGAAGGUGAAGCUAUCAACAUUUAUAGAUGAUUAUAUACUGAAGAUGAACUACAAUGAAUAAAAAUACAAUUAGUAAGGUAAAAAUUAAGUUGGUAAGUUACAGAAUUCCUGCAGAGCAGUAAAUUGCAUUCUGAUCAGAUGAUAUAAUGAAAGACUCCAUUUACUGUAGUAUCAGAAAAGAUAAAGCACCUGGGAAUAAACUUAAUAAAAAAUGUGCAAGACCAGUAUGAAGAGCUCUGUAAAACCUUCUGAAGAACAUAAAAAAAGACAUAAAAGACAUAAAAACAUGUCACAUUCAUGGAUAGGAAGCCUCAAUAUCAUAAAGACUGCAAUUUUCUGAGUUACUUCAUACAUAAAACUAAUAAAGAUAUGUACUUUUUUUUUUUUUAACCUAGACUGGAUAAUUCUAAAGUUUAUUUAAAAAACAACAACAAGGAGUUCCCAUCAUGGCUCAGUGGUUAAGGAAUCUGACGAGGAACCAUGAGGUGGUAGGUUCGAUCCCUGGCCUCGCUCAGUGGGUUAAGGAUCCAGCGUUGCCGUGAACUGUGGUGUAGGUUCGAUCCCUGCCCCAGGAAUCCCCACAUACUGCCUGUGUGACAAAAAAAGAAAUAAAAAAUACAAUCCCCCCCCCCACAAGAGAACCUAAAAUAAACACUGCAACUCUCAUUAAAAAAAAAAAAAAAAAAAA